Molecule: ribosomal RNA, 441 nt
Filed under: uncultured bacterium
Lineage: Bacteria
Description: partial 16S ribosomal RNA
Rfam family: Bacterial small subunit ribosomal RNA
Source: RNAcentral
CCUACGGGUGGCUGCAGUGGGGAAUAUUGCACAAUGGGGGGAACCCUGAUGCAGCGACGCCGCGUGGGUGAAGGAGUAUUUCGGUAUGUAAAGCCCUAUCAGCAGGGAAGAACAAUGACGGUACCGGACUAAGAAGCACCGGCUAAAUACGUGCCAGCAGCCGCGGUAAUACGUAUGGUGCAAGCGUUAUCCGGAUUUACUGGGUGUAAAGGGAGCGCAGGCGGCGCGUUAAGCCUGGUGUGAAAGCCCGCGGCCCAACCGCGGGACUGCAUUGGGAACUGGCGCGCUGGAGUGCCGGAGGGGUAGGCGGAAUGCCUGGUGUAGCGGUGAAAUGCGUAGAUAUCACGAAGAACUCCGAUUGCGAAGGCAGCUCACUGGACUGCAACUGACACUGAGGCUCGAAAGUGUGGGUAUCAAACAGGAUUAGAUACCCCAGUAGUC